This 429-nucleotide ribosomal RNA is filed under the name Bacteroidota bacterium. RNAcentral's name for it is "Bacteroidetes bacterium partial 16S ribosomal RNA". It matches the Rfam family "Bacterial small subunit ribosomal RNA", at positions 355 to 776 of the family's 1533-position model. The record is from RNAcentral. Lineage: Bacteria; Pseudomonadati; Bacteroidota.
UAGGGAAUCUUCCGCAAUGGACGCAAGUCUGACGGAGCAACGCCGCGUGUGUGAAGAAGGAUCUCGGUUCGUAAAACUCUGUUGUUAGAGAAGAACAGCGCAUAGAGUAACUGUUAUGCGUGUGACGGUAUCUAACCAGAAAGCCACGGCUAACUACGUGCCAGCAGCCGCGGUAAUACGUAGGUGGCAAGCGUUGUCCGGAUUUAUUGGGCGUAAAGCGAGCGCAGGCGGUCAAUUAAGUCUGAUGUGAAAGCCCCCGGCUCAACCGGGGAGGGUCAUUGGAAACUGGUUGACUUGAGUGCAGAAGAGGAGAGUGGAAUUCCAUGUGUAGCGGUGAAAUGCGUAGAUAUAUGGAGGAACACCAGUGGCGAAGGCGACUCUCUGGUCUGUAACUGACGCUGAGGCUCGAAAGCGUGGGUAGCAAACAGG